This 450-nucleotide ribosomal RNA is filed under the name uncultured bacterium. Its description in RNAcentral is "partial 16S ribosomal RNA". It matches the Rfam family "Bacterial small subunit ribosomal RNA", at positions 354 to 796 of the family's 1533-position model. The record is from RNAcentral.
GUGGGGAAUAUUGCACAAUGGGCGCAAGCCUGAUGCAGCCAUGCCGCGUGUAUGAAGAAGGCCUUCGGGUUGUAAAGUACUUUCAGCGGGGAGGAAGGCGAUAAGGUUAAUAACCUUGUCGAUUGACGUUACCCGCAGAAGAAGCACCGGCUAACUCCGUGCCAGCAGCCGCGGUAAUACGGAGGGUGCAAGCGUUAAUCGGAAUUACUGGGCGUAAAGCGCACGCAGGCGGUCUGUCAAGUCGGAGGUGAAAUCCCCGGGCUCAACCUGGGAACUGCAUUCGAAACUGGCAGGCUAGAGUCUUGUAGAGGGGGGUAGAAUUCCAGGUGUAGCGGUGAAAUGCGUAGAGAUCUGGAGGAAUACCGGUGGCGCAGGCGGCCCCCUGGACAAAGACUGACGCUCAGGUGCGAAAGCGUGGGGAGCAAACAGGAUUAGAUACCCUUGUAGUCC